UUUCAAUAGAGGUUUAAAAAAAAUAAAUUCACGUUGUCGUACCAGCACAAGCAUUUAACAAACCAAGCCAUAAAUUAAUAGUUUUUAUUUAAAGAGGGAAUGGAGAAGAAACUUUGUGCUGAUUUAUUUGUAUUUUUUCCAUAUUUCUAUCUUUUUCCUUCAUCAAACAACACCUUUAAAGGUUCAAAUAGUCCUGAAUCAGUACAGUCCAACAAGUGCAAAUCCAAACCUCAAGAUGAAAUACAACACUACUAAUGUAAAUUGCCAUACAUGGUGACUAAACUUAAAAAAAACACAUAAAACAACUACACUGAGGUCUAGGAAUUAGUUGACAAGGAAACAUACAACGACUAUCAUUUCUCUUCCAACUUGAAUACAGAACCUUUAACUUUGCAUUUCACAUGCUGUUCAGGAAUUAGAACAUACCUGGUAAUUGAAUCACAAGAAGAAAGAAGGAGCAAUCAGCAGCAGUAGAUACAACAACAAUACAAAUGCAGCAAUAUAACAACAAUGCAUCAAGUCCAACCCAGGAAUGAAUAAAUGACCACCCCAGGACCAAACCGAAAGACAGAUUGACACACAACAAUACCAAAAAAACCAACCCAACUUAAAAAUGCAACCAGAAACACUUGAAACUUUCAGCAAGCUAGAGUUCAAUUAGAAAAAUAUUUCAACUGGACCCAAAAAUUGCUUAAGUCUUCUGAUGAACUACUGAAACCUCAACUAUAAGAUCUAGAACUAGAAAGGAUAGAUUGAUCAACUAGGAAUUGCAACUAUUCUAAAGCUUCAACGGAAGAGUACUCUCAGUAUCUUUUAGCUCUAACUCUUUUCUCACUUUUAAAUUAUCCUUUCUCAAGAUUCUCUGUGUUUUGCCAACUCUUAAAACUCUAUCUCAACUGAUUUUUGAGCUCUCAAAAUGUUAUUUUCUUCAAGUCAAAAAUCCUCUUUUUCAAGUUCCCCUUUUUCUGUAGUCCUACCCCUGUGUUUAUACCCAAUCCUUGAACCCUUUCCAGCCCUUUUUCUUCUUUACAGUUGUAAAAACGAUCUUUUAUUAUUAUCCCAUACUUCUUACGUUUCAUCUUGUACAUUCCCUUACUAUGUGUAUUCUUUUAACCUUUCUUCAUUAACCUAUACUAUUUUUGAUUUACAGUUUAGUAAAAGCACUCAACAGAUUAUUACUCCCAUUACUGAUCCUAUUUUAUUUCUUACCCACUAACUCAAUGUCUUUAAUUCAAUGACGUCCCCCCUUUCUCUUGCUAAUUCAUUAUUAGUGCACCACUAAACAGUGUUGGCAGGCCCCCAUCUCUUAAUUGCCUAAACUAUCCUCUACACCUCUAUUCUUAAUUAUUCAAUUAAAAAAUUCUGAAAGUUCUGAAUACCUCCAACUGAAACCAUAAAACAGAAACAAUAGGUGACCAAAAACAAAUGGUAUCUAUCUCUGAAUCUAGAAGGUUUACCAUCGAAACGGAAUCAAACAAAAAAACUUUACACACAAAUAAUUCAGAAUUGAAUUAGCAUGAAACAAUCGGGGAAUAAACAUUUUGAGAUUCGGCCUUUGAGACAAUUAAUCGCCAAAUUGACUAUACUAGUCAUUACUCUAAUAAUGGAACCAGAAGUUUAAACAAAAUGUAAACAAAUUUAACGUAACAGACCUAAUAGAACAAUAAAUUAAACAAUCUAAAAUGCUGAGAAACAAAGUUCACAAAACAUAUAUCAAGAACAAAUGAAAGAAAGAAAAAAAAGAUGAAACAGAAUUACCUAAACACUGGCCACACUUUGAAAUUCUUUCUUCAAACUCUUGAUUUUUGACCACAUGGGGUUUUGAUCAUGUGUUUUCAAAUGAAAACACAUAGUUUAGACCAAAUGUGAUCUCAAUCGCCAAUAACUCCCUUGAUUUAGUUUUGGGCCUUAUCUUCAGAUUAAGAUUCGACGGGUUGAUAGCAUAUUCGAGGGAAACCAUCAUGAGUUUUGGGGUCAAUUGGGUAAGCUAGGGUUCAGGGUUGAUUUUCCAUCCAAGAGUUGAAACGAACUGAGAGGAUUCGAGGAACAUGGACUGGAGAUUUGGAAAGAGGAGGUUGAUGGGGUUCUAUGGUGUGAAGAUGGAGUGGAUUGGCUACCGUCUGCCGACGUGGGCGAUUUUCGCCGGAGUUAGGCGGUGAUAGACGAGCUCGUCUCUGAGCCGUUAGAGACGAGGGAGGGUGGGGUUUGGCUUGGGGGAGGGGCUGGAAUGUGUUACACUUAUACACAGGGGUUAGAAUGGAUCCAAGCCGUUUUGAUAAAAAAAUAUCAACGGCAUGGAUCGUUCACUUAAAUGGAAUGACGUCGUUCAACUUACUGAAAG
RNAcentral lists this long non-coding RNA (2341 nucleotides) under Nicotiana benthamiana. RNAcentral's name for it is "long non-coding RNA (NBEN_LNC037759)". Lineage: Eukaryota; Viridiplantae; Streptophyta; Magnoliopsida; Solanales; Solanaceae. The record is from RNAcentral.